AGCAGUCGCCACGGUAAUACGAAGGGUGCAAGCGUUAAUCGGAAUUACUGGACGUAAAGCGUGCGUAGGCGGUUUGUUAAGUCUGCUGUGAAAUCCCCGGGCUCAACCUGGGAAUGGCAGUGGAUACUGGCAAGCUAGAGUGUGUCAGAGGAUGGUGGAAUUCCCGGUGUAGCGGUGAAAUGCGUAGAGAUCGGGAGGAACAUCAGUGGCGAAGGCGGCCAUCUGGGACAACACUGACGCUGAGGCACGAAAGCGUGGGGAGCAAACAGGAUUAGAUACCCGGGUAGUCCCUGUCUCUUAUAC
RNAcentral lists this ribosomal RNA (303 nucleotides) under uncultured bacterium. RNAcentral's name for it is "partial 16S ribosomal RNA". It matches the Rfam family "Bacterial small subunit ribosomal RNA", at positions 507 to 807 of the family's 1533-position model. The record is from RNAcentral.